Molecule: transfer RNA, 72 nt
Filed under: Phrynosoma platyrhinos (Desert horned lizard)
Lineage: Eukaryota; Metazoa; Chordata; Lepidosauria; Squamata; Phrynosomatidae
Description: tRNA-OTHER
Source: RNAcentral
GCCGGCAUGGUGUAUUGGUUUGAGUGUUGGACUACCACUCUGGAGAUCAGGGUUCAAUUCCCUGCUCAGCCA